GGGCCCGUAGCUCAGCCAGGCAGAGCGGCGGGCUCCAGACGUACUACGGGUCUGGUAGAGCCGAAAGGCGAUGAUCGUCGUCUGGAGCGUUAAGACCCGGGAGGAGAGACCCGUAGGUCGGGGGUUCAAAUCCCCCCGGGCCCA
Molecule: transfer RNA, 144 nt
Filed under: Ignicoccus islandicus DSM 13165
Lineage: Archaea; Thermoproteati; Thermoproteota; Thermoprotei; Desulfurococcales; Desulfurococcaceae
Rfam family: tRNA
About the family: Transfer RNA (tRNA) molecules are approximately 80 nucleotides in length. Their secondary structure includes four short double-helical elements and three loops (D, anti-codon, and T loops). Further hydrogen bonds mediate the characteristic L-shaped molecular structure. tRNAs have two regions of fundamental functional importance: the anti-codon, which is responsible for specific mRNA codon recognition, and the 3' end, to which the tRNAs corresponding amino acid is attached (by aminoacyl-tRNA synthetases). tRNAs cope with the degeneracy of the genetic code in two manners: having more than one tRNA (with a specific anti-codon) for a particular amino acid; and 'wobble' base-pairing, i.e. permitting non-standard base-pairing at the 3rd anti-codon position.
Source: Rfam by way of RNAcentral